This 73-nucleotide transfer RNA is filed under the name Camelus bactrianus (Bactrian camel). It matches the Rfam family "tRNA". Rfam says of the family: Transfer RNA (tRNA) molecules are approximately 80 nucleotides in length. Their secondary structure includes four short double-helical elements and three loops (D, anti-codon, and T loops). RNAcentral also lists the same sequence under 1 other name. Lineage: Eukaryota; Metazoa; Chordata; Mammalia; Artiodactyla; Camelidae. The record is from Rfam by way of RNAcentral.
GAAGGUAUAGCUCAAGUGGUAGAGCAGGUGCUUAGCAUGCACGAGGUCCUGGGUCCGACCCUGAGUACCUCCU